UACGGAGGGGGCAAGCGUUGUCCGGAUUUAUUGGGCGUAAAGAGCGUGUAGGCGGUUUGGUAGGUCCGCUGUGAAAACUCGAGGCUCAACCUCGAGACGCCGGUGGAAACCAUCAGACUAGAGUCCGGAAGAGGAGAGUGGAAUUCCUGGUGUAGCGGUGAAAUGCGCAGAUAUCAGGAAGAACACCCGUGGCUAAGGCGGCUCUCUAGUACGGUACUGACGCUGAGACGCGAAAGCGUGGGGAGCGAACAGG
RNAcentral lists this ribosomal RNA (253 nucleotides) under uncultured bacterium. RNAcentral describes it as "partial 16S ribosomal RNA". It matches the Rfam family "Bacterial small subunit ribosomal RNA", at positions 524 to 776 of the family's 1533-position model. The record is from RNAcentral.